Molecule: ribosomal RNA, 254 nt
Filed under: uncultured bacterium
Lineage: Bacteria
Description: partial 16S ribosomal RNA
Rfam family: Bacterial small subunit ribosomal RNA
Source: RNAcentral
UACGUAGGGGGCAAGCGUUGUCCGGAUUUAUUGGGCGUAAAGAGCUCGUAGGUGGUUCGGUAAGUCGGAUGUGAAAUCUCCAGGCUCAACCUGGAGGGGUCAUUCGAUACUGCCGUGACUAGAGUUCGGUAGGGGAGUGUGGAAUUCCUGGUGGAGCGGUGAAAUGCGCAGAUAUCAGGAGGAACACCCGUAGCGAAGGCGGCACUCUGGGCCGAUACUGACGCUGAGAAGCGAAAGCAUGGGGAGCGAACAGG